UGAAAUGGAGGAGAAAUUACAGCAAUUUAUCAGCUGAAAUUAUAGGUGUAGACACAUGUCAGCAGUAGACACAGUUUCUAUGAAAGUUAAAGUAUUUAGAGAUUUUUCCUCAAAUUUCA
RNAcentral lists this long non-coding RNA (119 nucleotides) under Jaculus jaculus (lesser Egyptian jerboa). RNAcentral's name for it is "Highly accelerated region 1A/1B (ENSJJAG00000002453.1)". It matches the Rfam family "Highly accelerated region 1A/1B". The record is from RNAcentral. Lineage: Eukaryota; Metazoa; Chordata; Mammalia; Rodentia; Dipodidae.